This 253-nucleotide ribosomal RNA is filed under the name uncultured bacterium. RNAcentral describes it as "partial 16S ribosomal RNA". It matches the Rfam family "Bacterial small subunit ribosomal RNA", at positions 524 to 776 of the family's 1533-position model. The record is from RNAcentral.
UACGUAGGGGGCAAGCGUUAUCCGGAUUUACUGGGUGUAAAGGGGGCGCAGACGGCGAUGCAAGCCAGGAGUGAAAGCCCGGGGCCCAACCCCGGGACUGCUCUUGGAGCUGCGUGGCUGGAGUGCAGGAGGGGCAGGCGGAAUUCCUGGUGUAGCGGUGAAAUGCGUAGAUAUCAGGAGGAACACCGGUGGCGAAGGCGGCCUGCUGGACUGCAACUGACGUUGAGGCCCGAAAGCGUGGGGAGCGAACAGG